This 238-nucleotide long non-coding RNA is filed under the name Ananas comosus (pineapple). Its description in RNAcentral is "long non-coding RNA (ACOM_LNC036379)". Lineage: Eukaryota; Viridiplantae; Streptophyta; Magnoliopsida; Poales; Bromeliaceae. The record is from RNAcentral.
ACACGACUCAAUUUACCGAUUUCCCGUUGAUGGUGAUCUUCACCGGUCCUCGAUCGAUAGGAAUCCUCCAAUCGAUCUCGCCGCAACUCCUCGCAGCGUCAACGCCUCAACUCCUCGAAGCGUCCACCGAAUCCUCAGCUACACGCGAGCUCCACGCACCGAAUCUCCUUCCGGAGAUUGUAGAAUCGAAGAUUUAUGGUGAUUAAGCUUUAGAAUCCCAUAAGCUAUGAGGGUCCGU